GCGGUAAAUUAUGAUGUUAUGGAUCUAGGAGAUUACAUGGUA
Molecule: small RNA, 42 nt
Filed under: Arabidopsis thaliana (thale cress)
Lineage: Eukaryota; Viridiplantae; Streptophyta; Magnoliopsida; Brassicales; Brassicaceae
Description: ATSL119430
Source: RNAcentral